ACUCCUACGGGAGGCAGCAGUGGGGAAUAUUGCACAAUGGACGAAAGUCUGAUGCAGCAACGCCGCGUGGAGGAUGACACAUUUCGGUGCGUAAACUCCUUUUAUAUGAGAAGAUAAUGACGGUAGGAGCAGAAGAAGGACCGGCCAACUACGUGCCAGCAGCCGCGGUAAUG
Molecule: ribosomal RNA, 173 nt
Filed under: uncultured bacterium
Lineage: Bacteria
Description: partial 16S ribosomal RNA
Rfam family: Bacterial small subunit ribosomal RNA
Source: RNAcentral